Molecule: ribosomal RNA, 500 nt
Filed under: uncultured Sphingobacteriales bacterium
Lineage: Bacteria; Pseudomonadati; Bacteroidota; Sphingobacteriia; Sphingobacteriales
Description: bacterial SSU rRNA
Rfam family: Bacterial small subunit ribosomal RNA
Source: RNAcentral
GCCCGCUCAAGAAACUUAAAAGGAAGUUGACGGGGGCCCGGCACAAGCGGAGGAGCAUGUGGUUUAAUUCGAUGAUACGCGAAGGAACCUUACCUGGGCUCGAACGUAAGAUGACUGUAGGUGAAAGCUUACAUCUCUUCGGAGCAUUUUACGAGGUGCUGCAUGGUUGUCGUCAGCUCGUGCCGUGAGGUGUCGGGUUAAGUCCCAUAACGAGCGCAACCCCUACCUUUAGUUGCCAUCAGGUUAAGCUGGGGACUCUAAAGGAACUGCCUACGCAAGUAGUGAGGAAGGCGGGGAUGACGUCAAAUCAGCACGGCCCUUACGUCCAGGGCUACACACGUGCUACAAUGGCCGAUACAGAGGGCAGCUACCUGGUGACAGGAUGCAAAUCUCCAAAGUCGGUCUCAGUUCGGAUCGGAGUCUGCAACCCGACUCCGUGAAGUUGGAUUCGCUAGUAAUCGCGCAUCAGCCAUGGCGCGGUGAAUACGUUCCCGGGCCUU